GUGCCAGCCGCCGCGGUAAUACCGGCAGCACGAGUGAUGGCCGCUAUUAUUGGGCCUAAAGCGUCCGUAGCCGGCCGGGCAAGUCCGUCGGGAAAUCCACCCGCUUAACGGGUGGGCGUCCGGCGGAAACUGCUCGGCUUGGGACCGGAGGACUCGAGGGGUACGUCCGGGGUAGGAGUGAAAUCCCGUAAUCCCGGACGGACCGCCGAUGGCGAAAGCACUUCGAGAAAACGGAUCCGACAGUGAGGGACGAAAGCCAGGGUCUCCAACCGGAUUAGAAACCCUAGUAGUCC
RNAcentral lists this ribosomal RNA (293 nucleotides) under uncultured bacterium. Its description in RNAcentral is "partial 16S ribosomal RNA". It matches the Rfam family "Archaeal small subunit ribosomal RNA", at positions 455 to 747 of the family's 1478-position model. The record is from RNAcentral.